UAGCCAACACUGUUUUUUUUUAUAUAUAUAUAUAUAUAUAUAUAUAUAUUUUUUUUUUUUUUUUUUUAAUUAGGGUAGCCCCCAAAAUAUUGGGACAUAUAAAAAAAGACAACUCUGUUCCGCAGAGUAGCUGUUGACAUUAUAGUUGCGCACGCACUUUGUUGACUCUAGAGAACCUCGGGCCAAUCGCACAUCCCCGUGGCGGCGACUUUGCAUGUGGAUUUCAUCCAUAUCAACUUUCGAUGCCAGUUUCUGCACCUACCAUGGAGACCACGGUUAACGGGGAAUCAGGGUUCCAUACCGCACAGGGACCCUGAGAAACAGCUACCACAUGCAAGGAAAGCA
Molecule: ribosomal RNA, 345 nt
Filed under: Pelobates cultripes (western spadefoot toad)
Lineage: Eukaryota; Metazoa; Chordata; Amphibia; Anura; Pelobatidae
Description: SSU_rRNA_eukarya
Rfam family: Eukaryotic small subunit ribosomal RNA
Source: RNAcentral